RNAcentral lists this unclassified non-coding RNA (339 nucleotides) under soil metagenome. RNAcentral's name for it is "partial contains 5.8S ribosomal RNA, internal transcribed spacer 2, and large subunit ribosomal RNA". The stretch from base 1 to 120 matches the Rfam family "5.8S ribosomal RNA", at positions 35 to 154 of the family's 154-position model. The record is from RNAcentral.
GAUGAAGAACGUAGCGAAAUGCGAUACGUAAUGUGAAUUGCAGAAUUCCGUGAAUCAUCGAAUCUUUGAACGCACAUUGCGCCCCCUGGUAUUCCGGGGGGCAUGCCUGUCCGAGCGUCAUUGCAACCCUCAAGCGCGGCUUGUGUGUUGGGCUUCGUCCCCCCGUGGACGUGCCCGAAAGGCAGUGGCGGCGUCCCGAAUGGUGCCCGAGCGUAUGGGAACUCUCUUCCGCUCGAACCGGCCCAUUCGGCGCUGGUCGAACCCCAAUUUUUUUUUACCGGUUGACCUCGGAUCAGGUAGGGAUACCCGCUGAACUUAAGCAUAUCAAUAAGCGGAGGA